CCUACGGGAGGCUGCAGUGAGGAAUAUUGGUCAAUGGACGAGAGUCUGAACCAGCCAAGUAGCGUGAAGGAUGACUGCCCUAUGGGUUGUAAACUUCUUUUAUAUGGGAAUAAAACGUUCCACGUGUGGGAUUUUGUAUGUACCAUAUGAAUAAGGAUCGGCUAACUCCGUGCCAGCAGCCGCGGUAAUACGGAGGAUCCGAGCGUUAUCCGGAUUUAUUGGGUUUAAAGGGAGCGUAGGUGGAUUGUUAAGUCAGUUGUGAAAGUUUGCGGCUCAACCGUAAAAUUGCAGUUGAUACUGGCAGUCUUGAGUACAGUAGAGGUGGGCGGAAUUCGUGGUGUAGCGGUGAAAUGCUUAGAUAUCACGAAGAACUCCGAUUGCGAAGGCAGUUCACUGGACUGCCACUGACACUGAGGCUCGAAAGUGUGGGUAUCAAACAGGAUUAGAUACCCUAGUAGUC
RNAcentral lists this ribosomal RNA (460 nucleotides) under uncultured bacterium. RNAcentral describes it as "partial 16S ribosomal RNA". It matches the Rfam family "Bacterial small subunit ribosomal RNA", at positions 338 to 795 of the family's 1533-position model. The record is from RNAcentral.